AUACGUAGGUGGCAAGCGUUGUCCGGAUUUAUUGGGCGUAAAGCGAGCGCAGGCGGUUCUUUAAGUCUGAUGUGAAAGCCCCCGGCUCAACCGGGGAGGGUCAUUGGAAACUGGAGGACUUGAGUGCAGAAGAGGAGAGUGGAAUUCCAUGUGUAGCGGUGAAAUGCGUAGAUAGAUGGAGGAACACCAGUGGCGAAGGCGGCUCUCUGGUCUGUAACUGACGCUGAGGCUCGAAAGCGUGGGGAGCAAACAGGAUUAGAUACCAUGGUAGUCCACGCUGUAAACGAUGAGUGCUAAGUGUUGGAGGGUUUCCGCCCUUCAGUGCUGCAGCUAACGCAUUAAGCACUCCGCCUGGGGAGUACGGCCGCAAGGCUGAAACUCAAAGGAAUUGACGGGG
This 397-nucleotide ribosomal RNA is filed under the name uncultured bacterium. Its description in RNAcentral is "partial 16S ribosomal RNA". It matches the Rfam family "Bacterial small subunit ribosomal RNA", at positions 523 to 918 of the family's 1533-position model. The record is from RNAcentral.